CGAGCUUCGUAGUCCCCCAGGGCGCCUCGGUCGGUGACGGGUUCGAAGCCCGCUCUGCGUGAAGACAAGCGCGCCCUGAAAGUGCCGCUUUUCUGGGAGGAGAAGCGCUGCAGGGAAGCCUGGGUGGGGAUCAGGGGCGGGAGGGAGCGGCUUCUCCAGCCAGAGCCCGCCAGCCAUCUCCCCCCCCCCGCCUCCUCCUCCCUCCGGGGGUUGGCAUGGAGUGCGACUCGUCUCUCUCCCAACCAAGGGGUUACACAGGCUGGGGAGUGCGGGGGGGGUUACAAAUACUGUUGCCCCGUGUAUCUGGAGGGGGCUUCCGAAGGGGAAGGCUGUGCGGGCGAUCCGUUUUGCUUGGCCAGGGGAAGAAAAUCACAAGGCGGCCACAGAUUGCGCUUUUGCUUGCUUGCUUGCUUGCUUUUGCUCAUAUGCUUGCGUAAUCUCUACUCCGCUUUCUACUUUCGGUCUCACCGCCCCGGAGGGCGAGGUAAGUGGCGGUGGAGCUCUGAUGCUUUUGAAAUUUAAAAAAAAAAGAAGAAGAAGGAAGAAGGGCGGGGCUCUAAAAGCUGAUUGGUAAUCCGGGGCGAAGGGUCCCCACGGAGCCAAAUCCGCGCCUGCCGAGCGCCCUAAGUUACCCUUCUUCUUCUUUUGCCCUCUCCUAACCGAGCUCCAUCCCGUCAAAGGAGGACUUUCUUCGCUUCGCGCCCCCCGCCGGGAGGGAACUUCGAGACUCUCCUCCCGAGAGCUGCAGAAAGGCUCAGUUUUCACCGAGGAGCCACAGUGCAGCCUCUGCGGCCUUGCCUAUUCCCCUCUGCCUUAUCUGGGCUGCGAUCCCAUCCACAAGCAUCCCAACUGAAGUGCCUAAAGGAUUCCCUUCUGAAGGAGAAAGCAUAUGGCUGGCUGUGGAAUUCUGAGGGCUUCGGCAGCGUUCUUAUAUUGACUAUCGAAACUGGGCAGAAGAACUCAGAACGUCAGUGCCAAGAGAGGAGAACCAAAAAUAGAACGAAACGAGUCAAAAUGGCAAGAUGUAUUAACGCUUAAAAGAGAGACGCCUCCUAUUUAUGUCUCGUUUUUGAAGUAAAAAAUAAAAACAACAGCUAAAAUAAGUGGACCUCUGAAAAUGCGGUAAGGCAAUGCUGUAAAAUCGGCUUUGAGUCAUUUGUGUAUUGGAAAAUAAAUAUAUUAUUUAUUUUGUAAAAUAGAAAAAUAAUUGUGCACACAGAA
This is a non-coding RNA of Pantherophis guttatus, 1221 nucleotides long. Lineage: Eukaryota; Metazoa; Chordata; Lepidosauria; Squamata; Colubridae. The record is from RefSeq and is a predicted model, not a curated record.